Molecule: unclassified non-coding RNA, 337 nt
Filed under: soil metagenome
Description: partial contains 5.8S ribosomal RNA, internal transcribed spacer 2, and large subunit ribosomal RNA
Rfam family: 5.8S ribosomal RNA (bases 1-120)
Source: RNAcentral
GAUGAAGAACGUAGCGAAAUGCGACAAGUAAUGUGAAUUGCAGAAUUCAGUGAAUCAUCGAAUCUUUGAACGCACCUUGCGCCCUCUGGUAUUCCGGAGGGCAUGCCUGUUUGAGUGUCAUGAACACCUCACCCCCUCGGGUUUCCGAUCGGGUGGAUUUGGGUGCUGCCAGUCACAUGGCUCGCCUUAAAUGCAUUAGCGGUUGUAGACGUAAUAAGUUUCGUCUUACCGGCCGCUGACAAUCUCCUUCGGGAUGUCUUGCAAAGGACACUUCAUGAUCUGACCUCAAAUCAGGUAGGACUACCCGCUGAACUUAAGCAUAUCAAUAAGCGGAGGA